This 429-nucleotide ribosomal RNA is filed under the name Acidobacteriota bacterium. RNAcentral describes it as "Acidobacteria bacterium partial 16S ribosomal RNA". It matches the Rfam family "Bacterial small subunit ribosomal RNA", at positions 355 to 776 of the family's 1533-position model. The record is from RNAcentral. Lineage: Bacteria; Pseudomonadati; Acidobacteriota.
UGGGGAAUUUUGGACAAUGGGGGAAACCCUGAUUCAGCCAUCCCGCGUGUGCGAUGAAGGCCUUCGGGUUGUAAAGCACUUUUGGCAGGAAAGAAACGUCAUGGGUUAAUACCCCGUGAAACUGACGGUACCUGCAGAAUAAGCACCGGCUAACUACGUGCCAGCAGCCGCGGUAAUACGUAGGGUGCAAGCGUUAAUCGGAAUUACUGGGCGUAAAGCGUGCGCAGGCGGUUCGGAAAGAAAGAUGUGAAAUCCCAGAGCUCAACUUUGGAACUGCAUUUUUAACUACCGGGCUAGAGUGUGUCAGAGGGGGGGGGAAUGCCGCGUGUAGCAGUGAAAUGCGUAGAUAUGCGAAGGAACACCGAUGGCGAAGGCAGCCUCCUGGGAUAACACUGACACUCAUGCACGAAAGCGUGGGGAGCAAACAGG